CCUACGGGAGGCAGCAGUGGGGAAUAUUGCGCAAUGGGCGAAAGCCUGACGCAGCGACGCCGCGUGAGGGAUGAAGGUCUUCGGAUCGUAAACCUCUGUUAGUAGGGGAGAACGGUGACUGUGGUAAUCAGCAGUGAAUUGACGGUACCUGCAAAGGAAGCACCGGCUAACUCCGUGCCAGCAGCCGCGGUAAUACGGAGGGUGCGAGCGUUAAUCGGAAUUACUGGGCGUAAAGCGCGCGUAGGCGGUAUGUCAAGUCAAGGGGGAAAUCCCCGCGCUCAACGUGGGAACUGCCUUUGAAACUGGCAAACUGGAGUGUGUGAGAGGAUAGUGGAAUUCCAGGUGUAGGGGUGAAAUCCGUAGAUAUCUGGAGGAACAUCAGUGGCGAAGGCGACUAUCUGGCACAUAACUGACGCUGAGGAGCGAAAGCGUGGGUAGCAAACAGGAUUAGAUACCCGAGUAGUC
Molecule: ribosomal RNA, 465 nt
Filed under: uncultured bacterium
Lineage: Bacteria
Description: partial 16S ribosomal RNA
Rfam family: Bacterial small subunit ribosomal RNA
Source: RNAcentral